Molecule: unclassified non-coding RNA, 332 nt
Filed under: soil metagenome
Description: partial contains 5.8S ribosomal RNA, internal transcribed spacer 2, and large subunit ribosomal RNA
Rfam family: 5.8S ribosomal RNA (bases 1-120)
Source: RNAcentral
GAUGAAGAACGCAGCGAAAUGCGAUAAGUAAUGUGAAUUGCAGAAUUCAGUGAAUCAUCGAAUCUUUGAACGCACAUUGCGCCCGCCAGUAUUCUGGCGGGCAUGCCUGUUCGAGCGUCAUUUCAACCCUCAAGCACAGCUUGGUGUUGGGACUCGCGUUAAUUCGCGUUCCCCAAAUUGAUUGGCGGUCACGUCGAGCUUCCAUAGCGUAGUAGUAAAACCCUCGUUACUGGUAAUCGUCGCGGCCACGCCAUUAAACCCCAUCUUCUGAAUGUUGACCUCGGAUCAGGUAGGAAUACCCGCUGAACUUAAGCAUAUCAAUAAGCGGAGGA